AGAAUAAAAUGUCAAAAAUAUCUCCUGACAAAGGGCAGCCCGCCGAUGGCGAUCGUCCACCGCGGCGCCGCCCACCUCCACCGAUCUCUCUCUCUCUCCCCCUCUCUCUUCACCCCGGGACCCAAACCCUAACCCUAGCCCCACAACCCCCGUCGUCGGAAUUUGAUAGUUGAGGUACAUCAAUCACUUCAAUGGGGAGCUUGGGAUGGGUCAGCGUGGUUUCAAUUUUAUUUAAUCAGGGCCGGCUUUGGAGGAGUGCAGAGUGAUCGACCGCACCGGGCCCCCAAAAAUUAGGGGCCCCAAUUUUUUUUAUAUUUAUAUAUAAGAGAAAUAAAUCUAAAUGGACGUGGACCAUCCAUUUCACAACUCAGCUUAAUCUCAACCCUCCAUUCAAAAACCCCUCCAUUCAAAAACCCCUCCUUCAAAAACCCUACCCAUCUUCACUGAAUCACAUCUCAAACCAGAUCUGCUAGCCCCCAUCCCCCUCCUCCUCUCCCCCGUCGUACUCUGCAGUCCGCCCUCGAGUCCUCGACACGCUCACUCGCUCAGCCAGGGCCUCGCGGCGUCGCCCUCGCCAUCACCGCCCGUUGUCCCACCGCCCCCGAAAUCGUCGACUUUGGAGCUCGCCAGUCGCCGCCCCCGCUCAGCAGUCGGAGCUUGCCAGUCGCCGCCCUCAAAAUCUUCGCUGUCGAGCUCGCCAGCAAAACAAUUCCUCUCCAACUUUGAGUCAUUUCUUCGGGUCUAUUUGAAUCUUCAAUCUCGUGCAGCAGAAAAAUUGGGCGGUAAAAAGAAUGCUAUUUGACCUUGCUAAGGAUGGAGUGCUCUUAUGGCUUUGGAUAAAAUUCGUUACGAGAGCUUGACGGAUAAGAGCAAGCUCGAUACUCAGCUGGAGCUGUUUAUUAGGUUGUAUUGUUCCGAAUCUUUUGACUUCUUUCAAUUUGAUUGUAAUAUUUUUUUUUAUUAUAGAAAUGCCACCAAGAAAAUAUCCUUCUGGAUAUGAUAAACGCAAAAAAAAAAAAUGAACAAUUUGUCCAAACUCAAAGUGGAGCGCUUGAUAAAUUUAUUGUUAGAGAAACACAAGAUUUAGUUAAAAAUUCAAUUGAAAUGAUAACAUUAAUGAUUUGUGCAUGAAUGAGUAUGAGAAUGAAAAUGUUGAUGAUCAAAGUAAAAAUAAAAAUGAGAAUGAAAAUGAGAAUCAGAAUAUAAAUGAGAAUCAUAAUGAAAAUGAAAAUAAUAAUGAAAAUGAGAAUCGGAAUGAAAAUAAAAAUGAAAGUAAAAUUGAGAAUCAGAAUCAGAAUGAAAUUGAUAUUGACAAUGAGAAUGACAAUAUUUUAGGUAAUGAACAACCUAAUCAGUCCAUGCUCAUGAAUUUGAAUAUUUAUGAUCCAAGAAUUUGGGAUAGCUUGGACACAAAAUCUAGAGAUAUAUUAGUGGAAAAUGGUCCUAUAAGAGAUCUAAAGGCUUAAUUAGUGAUUUUGCAGCUAAAAAUACAAGGAGGAUAAUUUUUCGAUGAUACUUUUUGAUGCUAAAGGCUUCGAUAUCUGAUGAAGGUGACCGAAGAGAUGAAGAAUGGGCAAUAGCACUUGAAAAGUAUGUUAAAGAUUAUUCAGAUGCAAAAAAAUCAGGUUCUCUUCCAACUUGGGGACGAUAUGCGUUACUAUCUGUAUGCGGGUUUUCCUCCCCAAUAGCAUACUGUGGUAGUUGUCAUAAUUUUUGCGGAGGACAAAAUCAGAGGGAAGGAACCAGAGAGACCUUUCAGUUUGAUUAUCGGGAACUAUCAGAGUGUGUAGCAUUGCGAAUGCUCCAUUUACCGCAUUAGAUGUUACGCUUUGAAUUCAAACUAAGCCUCCAGUAUUUUUGGAUUUUGAUGUGUCAGGCUAUGAAGUGUCCAGGAUUGAGAUGAGGUGAGAGUACCAAAUACGUAGCCCAUGAUAUCUCUAUAUCUGAUUAAUCUGUUGCCAUCGAUGACCUGGAAUUCAGCCAAGAGCCACUUUGCAUAGAAGGCGAAGGCCCCCACAACUGCAAGCCCAGUGAGGCCCCAGGCCCAGCCUAAUGGCGCCAACAUCAGAUUUGAGAAGCUGAGCACAUAUGCACAGUUAAAACCAGUGACCAUCAGUAAUCCAACUUGUUGCCAUGAGUCUGCAACAAUAAAGAUCACUUGAAGCCAGAUGGAGGAUCAUGGGUACUAACUAGCUAGACUACAAACUCUAUAUUUCAGUCUUCUUCUAUACUUCAAAACUAAAAUCGAAAAAAAAAUAUGGCGUCCUUUCUCUUGAAUUGCUAUCGAAAUUUGCGAGUCAUCGAGUACCCUAUACUUUUAUUUACUGUAGUACAUAGUAGUUUGAACUUCGGAGUA
This is a long non-coding RNA of Asparagus officinalis (garden asparagus), 2356 nucleotides long. RefSeq lists it as uncharacterized. Lineage: Eukaryota; Viridiplantae; Streptophyta; Magnoliopsida; Asparagales; Asparagaceae. The transcript is spliced from 8 exons. The record is from RefSeq and is a predicted model, not a curated record.